GGGGCUGAACUGGAUUCGACCUUGACCGGACCGAGAUAGGAGAAGCGAGCCGAGAAUUUCGGGUGGUCUCGAAAAUCUCUCCCGGAAACUUAUAACUGCCGCUGCGUAAAGCACGGUUGCCAUCUCCUAAUUGAUGGCCGUCGGCCCGAAGAUCGCCUGCGUCUUCGGGAUCCGGCGUCGCCUAGCAGGCUCGCCGCCUCGAGCCCGUUCGGUGCUUUGAGGCGGGACUCCAAACCGAUCUAGGAACCGGCCGCUGCUGUUUGCGGGCCGGCCGAGCUCCGAAACCUGACCGCAAACUACGCUCGUAGAAGACCUAUCCAGGGGUCGAGGGACCCGGGUUCGAUUCCCGGCAGCUCCACUA
This 361-nucleotide transfer-messenger RNA is filed under the name Actinomycetota bacterium. It matches the Rfam family "transfer-messenger RNA". Rfam says of the family: Bacterial tmRNA, also known as 10Sa RNA or SsrA, is named for its dual tRNA and mRNA-like properties. Its role is to liberate the mRNA from a stalled ribosome. The record is from RNAcentral. Lineage: Bacteria; Bacillati; Actinomycetota.